UGAGUAUCAAUUGGCACGUUCUUCUUUUUUCUAUUUUUUAAUUGUGUACACCAUACUUGCAUUCUUUUUUGUGUACAUAUUUCUUGUAGUUGUGGAAAGAGGGGGUGGGGGGGUAUUAGGUCGUGUAAGGCUAUAUUCUAUUUUGCAAAGAGGCAAGAAGAGGU
Molecule: non-coding RNA, 164 nt
Filed under: Palpitomonas bilix
Lineage: Eukaryota
Source: RNAcentral